GAUGAGGAAAGCUGCGAUGAUGGAAUGAGCAAUGGCGAGAGAACCAGGACUGGUAAAUCACCAACUGCACAGAGAAAGGGAGAAUAGGUUGACGUCUCUUCUCUGGUCCCAGACUGCCUCUGCUAACCACUUACCUCCAGAACUCUCCAAUUCCACGGUUGCCCUUUGUUGUAGCUUACCAAAUCCUGCCAGCUCACCAACGCUUUGAGAAUCCACAUGCCAU
Molecule: long non-coding RNA, 223 nt
Organism: Girardinichthys multiradiatus
Lineage: Eukaryota; Metazoa; Chordata; Actinopteri; Cyprinodontiformes; Goodeidae
Exons: 3
Source: RefSeq, a predicted model, not a curated record